UUAGCAUGAGUCAAGUAAACUCGUCUUUCGCUAAGCACGAGUUUAAAGCAAACUCGCUUAUUACUAGGCACAAGUUCGAAAUAAACUCGCCUAAACCGUCAUAGGCAUGAAUGUGUCUAGUUCAUUGUCUAAUAAACCCUAUUCGUAAAAUUCACAGAGAUCGACUUCAUCUCUCUCUACGAACUUGGGGGACUUACUGUUGGGGAUGAAUUUACAUCCUC
RNAcentral lists this long non-coding RNA (221 nucleotides) under Brassica napus (rape). RNAcentral describes it as "long non-coding RNA (BNAP_LNC016383)". The record is from RNAcentral. Lineage: Eukaryota; Viridiplantae; Streptophyta; Magnoliopsida; Brassicales; Brassicaceae.